Molecule: unclassified non-coding RNA, 301 nt
Filed under: Glomus sp.
Lineage: Eukaryota; Fungi; Glomeromycota; Glomeromycetes; Glomerales; Glomeraceae
Description: partial contains 5.8S ribosomal RNA and internal transcribed spacer 2
Rfam family: 5.8S ribosomal RNA (bases 1-65)
Source: RNAcentral
GUGAAUCAUCGAAUUUUUGAACGCAAAUUGCACUCUCCUCGGAGAGUACGCCUGUUUGAGGGUCAGCCUAUAAAAAUCGACAUCGUUUCUUGUUCGCGGGUGCGGUCGGCGGGAAUUUGGUCAUCUUAAAUCCUUUUUGUUUAUGCUACUUAAAAUUUUCUUUUUUUUCCAUGAACGUUUCUAAGAUCGAUUUCUUACACUUUUAAGUUAUCGAUUUUUACUAUACUUGACGUUCAUAUCAUAUCGCGUCCAUAAUCUUUCAUUAACUUACCUCAGACAGGUAAGAUUACCCUCUGAACUU